GGCUGGUCCAAAGGUAGUGAGUUAUCUCACCUGAUUGUUCACAGUCAGUUAUAGAUUGAACUCCUUAUUAUAUCACUUUCCCCCCUCCUCACUACUGCACUUGACUAGUCUUAA
This 114-nucleotide Y RNA is filed under the name Propithecus coquereli (Coquerel's sifaka). Its description in RNAcentral is "Y RNA (ENSPCOG00000007752.1)". It matches the Rfam family "Y RNA". Rfam says of the family: Y RNAs are components of the Ro ribonucleoprotein particle (Ro RNP), in association with Ro60 and La proteins. The Y RNAs and Ro60 and La proteins are well conserved, but the function of the Ro RNP is not known. The record is from Rfam by way of RNAcentral. Lineage: Eukaryota; Metazoa; Chordata; Mammalia; Primates; Indriidae.